RNAcentral lists this ribosomal RNA (482 nucleotides) under uncultured bacterium. RNAcentral's name for it is "partial 16S ribosomal RNA". It matches the Rfam family "Bacterial small subunit ribosomal RNA", at positions 30 to 507 of the family's 1533-position model. The record is from RNAcentral.
AUUGAACGCUGGUGGCAUGCCUUACACAUGCAAGUCGAACGGUAACAGGUCUUCGGAUGCUGACGAGUGGCGAACGGGUGAGUAAUACAUCGGAACGUGCCCGAUCGUGGGGGAUAACGAAGCGAAAGCUUUGCUAAUACCGCAUAAGAUCUACGGAUGAAAGCAGGGGACCGCAAGGCCUUGCGCGAACGGAGCGGCCGAUGGCAGAUUAGGUAGUUGGUGGGAUAAAAGCUUACCAAGCCGACGAUCUGUAGCUGGUCUGAGAGGACGACCAGCCACACUGGGACUGAGACACGGCCCAGACUCCUACGGGAGGCAGCAGUGGGGAAUUUUGGACAAUGGGCGAAAGCCUGAUCCAGCCAUGCCGCGUGCAGGAUGAAGGCCUUCGGGUUGUAAACUGCUUUUGUACGGAACGAAAAGACUCUGGUUAAUACCUGGGGUCCAUGACGGUACCGUAAGAAUAAGCACCGGCUAACUACGUG